This 253-nucleotide ribosomal RNA is filed under the name uncultured bacterium. RNAcentral's name for it is "partial 16S ribosomal RNA". It matches the Rfam family "Bacterial small subunit ribosomal RNA", at positions 524 to 776 of the family's 1533-position model. The record is from RNAcentral.
UACGUAGGUGGCAAGCGUUGUCCGGAUUUACUGGGCGUAAAGAGCGCGCAGGCGGUCGUUCAAGUCGCGUGUGAAAGCCCCCGGCUCAACUGGGGAGGGUCACGCGAUACUGAUCGACUCGAAGGCAGGAGAGGGUAGUGGAAUUCCCGGUGUAGUGGUGAAAUGCGUAGAUAUCGGGAGGAACACCAGUGGCGAAGGCGGCUCUCUGGAACGGUACUGACGCUGAGACGCGAAAGCGUGGGGAGCGAACAGG